GACGAACGCUGGCGGCGUGCCUAAUACAUGCAAGUCGAGCGAAGUUUUUCUGGUGCUUGCCCUAGAAAAACUUAGCGGCGAACGGGUGAGUAACACGUAAAGAACCUGCCUCAUAGACUGGGACAACUAUUGGAAACGAUAGCUAAUACCGGAUAACAGUAUUUCUCGCAUGAGAGAUAUUUAAAAGUUGGUUAUGCUAACACUAUGAGAUGGCUUUGCGGUGCAUUAGCUAGUUGGCGGGGUAAAGGCCCACCAAGGCGACGAUGCAUAGCCGACCUGAGAGGGUGAUCGGCCACACUGGGACUGAGACACGGCCCAGACUCCUACGGGAGGCAGCAGUAGGGAAUCUUCCGCAAAGGGCGAAAGCCUGACGGAGCAACGCCGCGUGAGUGAAGAAGGAUUUCGGUUCGUAAAGCUCUGUUGUUAGGGAAGAAUGGAUAUGUAGUAACUAUACAUGUAAGAGACGGUACCUAACCAGAAAGCCACGGCUAACUACGUG
This 499-nucleotide ribosomal RNA is filed under the name uncultured bacterium. RNAcentral describes it as "partial 16S ribosomal RNA". It matches the Rfam family "Bacterial small subunit ribosomal RNA", at positions 28 to 507 of the family's 1533-position model. The record is from RNAcentral.